GACGAACGCUGGCGGCGUGCUUAACACAUGCAAGUCGAACGGAAAGGCCCUGCUUUUGUGGGGUGCUCGAGUGGCGAACGGGUGAGUAACACGUGAGUAACCUGCCCUUGACUUUGGGAUAACUUCAGGAAACUGGGGCUAAUACCGGAUAGGAGCUCCUGCUGCAUGGUGGGGGUUGGAAAGUUUCGGCGGUUGGGGAUGGACUCGCGGCUUAUCAGCUUGUUGGUGGGGUAGUGGCUUACCAAGGCUUUGACGGGUAGCCGGCCUGGGAGGGUGACCGGCCACCUUGGGCCUGAGGUACGGCCCAGACUCCUACGGGCGGCAGCAGUGGGGAAUAUUGCACAAUGGGCGGAAGCCUGAUGCAGCAACGCCGCGUGCGGGAUGACGGCCUUCGGGUUGUAAACCGCUUUCGCCUGUGACGAAGCGUGAGUGACGGUAAUGGGUAAAGAAGCACCGGCUAACUACGUG
Molecule: ribosomal RNA, 468 nt
Filed under: uncultured bacterium
Lineage: Bacteria
Description: partial 16S ribosomal RNA
Rfam family: Bacterial small subunit ribosomal RNA
Source: RNAcentral